Molecule: ribosomal RNA, 305 nt
Filed under: uncultured bacterium
Lineage: Bacteria
Description: bacterial SSU rRNA
Rfam family: Bacterial small subunit ribosomal RNA
Source: RNAcentral
GUUCCUACGGGGGGCAGCAGUGAGGAAUAUUGGUCAAUGGCCGAGAGGCUGAACCAGCCAAGUCGCGUGAGGGAUGACGGCCCUACGGGUUGUAAACCUCUUUUGUCGGGGAGCAAGACCCGCCUCGUGCAGGCGGAGCGAGAGUGCCCGAAGAAAAAGCAUCGGCUAACUCCGUGCCAGCAGCCGCGGUAAUACGGAGGAUGCGAGCGUUAUCCGGAUUUAUUGGGUUUAAAGGGUGCGCAGGCGGGAGAUCAAGUCAGCGGGAAAAUGUCGGGGCUCAACCCCGGCCGGCCGGUGAAACUGGG